CGCAAAUAGGGCCUAACUUAUUUUGAUUAAUAUUAAGUCUAUUGCACUAUGUUCGCCAGAAAUGGCCCAGGAAAUCUAUGGAUAACGAAAAUCCUUGCAAUAUUUGGAAAAAAAAGACCGAACCGCACCUGAAUAAAACAGAACUCAACACUUCGCAGUAUACGGAAGUGUACUACUUCGGGAGAGAUACUUCGUAAGAGCCGUAUCAGUCCGCGAAUACGGUAUCUCCUAAAAAAAACAACGAUGCAAAUAUGUGAAAUGGCUCACGAAGAGGCAGGAAAGGUGUGGUUAGCAAAAACCGAGAUUGGCAAAAUGAGCCAACAAAACUAAAAAGGAUCUGGUGACGAUGAAAGUGGAUGAGGAGGGACGAUGGUUGCAGCAGCUCAAGGAACAUCGACAAAUGGUUCGGACGUCGACACCAGUUAGUCAGAGACAAGACGAAAAGCAGUCAAGACACCAUUAAUACACCGUUAACUAAGAUAAAACGAAAGCUAGCUCUUUAUGGAAGCUAUUUUUGAGAGAUCAAUCGUCGAACUUCAUAUGUACCGGUGAUGAAUACCAGUUUAUAGUUAAAGUUCAUAAUUCAGCUUUAAAAAGCAUCGAGCGAAAAUACAUGCAGAGAG
Varroa destructor (honeybee mite) is the source of this 623-nucleotide long non-coding RNA. The record is from RefSeq and is a predicted model, not a curated record. NCBI's taxonomy places the organism in Eukaryota, Metazoa, Arthropoda, Arachnida, Mesostigmata, Varroidae.